Molecule: unclassified non-coding RNA, 348 nt
Filed under: soil metagenome
Description: partial contains 5.8S ribosomal RNA, internal transcribed spacer 2, and large subunit ribosomal RNA
Rfam family: 5.8S ribosomal RNA (bases 1-120)
Source: RNAcentral
GAUGAAGAACGCAGCAAAAUGCGAUAAGUAAUGUGAAUUGCAGAAUUCAGUGAAUCAUCGAAUCUUUGAACGCACAUUGCGCCCGCUGGUAUUCCGGCGGUCAUGCCUGUUCGAGCGUCAUUUCAACCCUCAAGCCCCCUGGUUUGGUGUUGGGGAUCGGCUCUGCCCUUCUGGGCGGUGCCGCCCCCGAAAUACAUUGGCGGUCUCGCUGCAGCCUCCAUUGCGUAGUAGCUAACACCUCGCAACUGGAACGCGGCGCGGCCAUGCCGUAAAACCCCAACUUCUGAAUGUUGACCUCGGAUCAGGUAGGAAUACCCGCUGAACUUAAGCAUAUCAAUAAGAGGAGGA